GUAACAAGGUUUCCGUAGGUGAACCUGCGGAAGGAUCAUUACCUAGAGUUUGCAGACUUCGGUCUGCUACCUCUUACCCAUGUCUUUUGAGUACCUUCGUUUCCUCGGCGGGUCCGCCCGCCGAUUGGACAACAUUCAAACCCUUUGCAGUUGCAAUCAGCGUCUGAAAAAACAUAAUAGUUACAACUUUCAACAACGGAUCUCUUGGUUCUGGCAUCGAUGAAGAACGCAGCGAAAUGCGAUAAGUAGUGUGAAUUGCAGAAUUCAGUGAAUCAUCGAAUCUUUGAACGCACAUUGCGCCCCUUGGUAUUCCAUGGGGCAUGCCUGUUCGAGCGUCAUUUGUACCUUCAAGCUCUGCUUGGUGUUGGGUGUUUUGUCUCGCCUCCGCGUGUAGACUCGCCUUAAAACAAUUGGCAGCCGGCGUAUUGAUUUCGGAGCGCAGUACAUCUCGCGCUUUGCACUCAUAACGACGACGUCCAAAAGUACAUUUUUACACUCUUGACCUCGGAUCAGGUAGGGAUACCCGCUGAACUUAAGCAUAUCAAUAAG
RNAcentral lists this ribosomal RNA (549 nucleotides) under Epicoccum nigrum. Its description in RNAcentral is "eukaryotic LSU rRNA". The stretch from base 185 to 338 matches the Rfam family "5.8S ribosomal RNA". The record is from RNAcentral. Lineage: Eukaryota; Fungi; Ascomycota; Dothideomycetes; Pleosporales; Didymellaceae.